MicroRNA precursor from Monodelphis domestica (gray short-tailed opossum), 61 nucleotides. The record is from Ensembl. Lineage: Eukaryota; Metazoa; Chordata; Mammalia; Didelphimorphia; Didelphidae.
GGAGGGGUUGAAGACUCGCCCCCUAUCCUGACUCUGAGGGGCGAUUUUACAACCCUUCCCA